GACGAACGCUGGCGGCGUGCUUAACACAUGCAAGUCGAACGGAAAGGCCCUGCUUUUGUGGGGUGCUCGAGUGGCGAACGGGUGAGUAACACGUUAGUAACCUUCCCUUGACUUUGGGAUAACUUCAGGAAACUUGGGCUAAUACCUGAUAGGAGCUCCUUCUGCAUGGUGGGGGUUGUAAAGUUUCGGCGGUUGGGGAUGGACUCGCGGCUUAUCAGGUUGUUGGUGGGGUAGUGGCUUACCAAGGCUUUGACGGGUCGCCGGCCUGAGAGGGUUACCGGCCACAUUGGGAAUGAGAUACGGGACAGACGUCUAAGGGAGGCAGAAGUGGGGAAUAUUGAACAAUGGGCGGAAGCCGGAUGCAGCAACGCCGCGUGCGGGAUGAGGGACGUCGGGUUGUAAACCGCUUUCGCCGGUGACGAAGCGUGAGUGACGGUAAUGGGUAAAGAAGCACCGGCUAACUACGUG
Molecule: ribosomal RNA, 468 nt
Filed under: uncultured bacterium
Lineage: Bacteria
Description: partial 16S ribosomal RNA
Rfam family: Bacterial small subunit ribosomal RNA
Source: RNAcentral